AAAGUGGGCCAUGGAACCAAUGUAGUGGGUCCAACCAGCAUUAAAAAAGAAAGAAAGAAAGAAAGAAAGAAAGAAUAGAAAAUAUCAGAGUACAUAACAAGUAGUAAAGGAAGUCACCAUCUUCGGUGGGGACCUUUCUCAGACAAUCUAUUCUUCCACAAUUCUCCUUGAGCAACCAAGAUAUUAACGGGGAAGACUUGAAGUUUCUAUGCUGCUUGAUCCAGAAUUUUCUCACCAUGGAUGUGGGGUUCUCACCUUUGAAGAACACAGCAAGAAGGUGGCCACCCAUAAGCCAGGAGGAAAGCCCUCAUCAAGCAAAUUGACUGGUGCCUUGAUCUGGGACUACUAGCCUCUAGAACUGAAGAAAGUAAAU
This 373-nucleotide long non-coding RNA is filed under the name Homo sapiens (human). Its description in RNAcentral is "HSALNT0328791". The record is from RNAcentral. Lineage: Eukaryota; Metazoa; Chordata; Mammalia; Primates; Hominidae.